GAGGCUCUCUGCUGCCUUUUGUUUUCUUAGGUUUUGCUGAGAAACGGGAGUGCGUUCUGUGUCGGUGUUUGUGACGCCCUGAGACCCUGCUUGGCCUAGCUAAAGUCCAGAAGGCCUGGGCCCCACAGGGCUUGGAUGAGGGCUCAUGGGCCUGUACUUCAGGAGGCCUGAGAGGCCCGGUCAGUCCCAUGAGGCUACUCGGCUUGGCCCGCAGGUCCUCCGAGGCACAGGGCAGAGGGACACCCCAGGGACCCAUCAGACUCACGACACAGAGAAACUCAAGUGGGGUGCCAGGGCCGGCCACAGAGGCCACGGGCUUCCUGCCUGUGAGGAGCCGCCCUGUUUGUCUGAGCCCUUUGGAGAUUUAGGUUGAGUCAUGAGAACCGGUCAUUGGAACAUACACUUUAUUAUGUUACAAAAACAAAAAUCCCCACUGAAACACAGCUAAAAAAAUAACACAUUUUCCCAAGAUUACAUUACCAAAAACAGUUGUUAUGUCAUUGGAGGGCGUCCAUUAAUACUGCUCGGAGAAGCACGAUCUUACACGAAAAACACGGAUGGGAUUUCGUUUUCACCUUAAAGCAUUAAAGUGCUUUAACUGGUAACAGAGGAGUGGAUGUUUGUGCGUUGGAGACACUGACUGUUCUGAGUGACAAGUGGCUCUGUGCCAGGAUACUGCGGGUCGGGCUCCUGGGUACAGCAAGGGCUUCCCAGCAGCCCAGGCCUGGUGGGAACGCUGGGGGAAUGGGGGAGAGUCGCUGUUUCUGACCAGAGCGACUUGGACAGAUGUGAGCUGACCUGCCUGGCGAGCUCCUUCUGCCUUGCCUCUCUGAGCAGACUCAGGACCACUGCCUGUCCCCCUUGGCCCCAGGAGUGCCAGCAGCCUCCCUCCAACCCCUGCACUGCUGGGAAAACCAUCCGCCUUCAAGAUUUAUUUGUUGAUUUGUUUAGUUUUAUAAAAACAUAUCACUUAAAGGAUUCUUGUUCC
Molecule: long non-coding RNA, 988 nt
Filed under: Homo sapiens (human)
Lineage: Eukaryota; Metazoa; Chordata; Mammalia; Primates; Hominidae
Description: non-protein coding lnc-LRRC47-78:35
Source: RNAcentral